RNAcentral lists this ribosomal RNA (468 nucleotides) under uncultured bacterium. RNAcentral's name for it is "partial 16S ribosomal RNA". It matches the Rfam family "Bacterial small subunit ribosomal RNA", at positions 28 to 507 of the family's 1533-position model. The record is from RNAcentral.
GACGAACGCUGGCGGCGUGCUUAACACAUGCAAGUCGAACGGAAAGGCCCUGCUUUUAUGGGGUGCUCGAGGGGCGAACGGGUGAGUAACACGUGAGUAACCUGCCCUUGACUUUGGGAUAACUUCAGGAAACUGGGGCUAAUACCGGAUAGGAGCUCCUGCUGCAUGGUGGGGGUUGGAAAGUUUCGGCGGUUGGGGAUGGACUCGCGGCUUAUCAGCUUGUUGGUGGGGUAGUGGCUUACCAAGGCUUUGACGGGUAGCCGGCCUGAGAGGGUGACCGGCCACAUUGGGACUGAGAUACGGCCCAGACUCCUACGGGAGGCAGCAGUGGGGAAUAUUGCACAAUGGGCGGAAGCCUGAUGCAGCAACGCCGUGUGAUGGAUGACGGCCUUCGGGUUGUAAACCGCUUUCGCCUGUGACUAAGCGUGAGUGACGGUAAUGGGUAAAGAAGCACCGGCUAACUACGUG